GGUGAGGUAACGGCUCACCAAGACGACGAUGACUAGGGGUUCUGAAAGGAUGAUCCCCCACACUGGUACUGAGACACGGACCAGACUCCUACGGGAGGCAGCAGUGAGGAAUAUUGCGCAAUGGAGGCAACUCUGACGCAGCCAUGCCGCGUGCAGGAGGACGGCCCUACGGGUUGUAAACUGCUUUUCUUAACUAAGAACCGUGGAUAAUCUUAUCCACCUGACUGGUUUUGGAAUAAGCAUCGGCUAACUCCGUGCCAGCAGCCGCGGUAAUACGGAGGAUGCAAGCGUUAUCCGGAUUCACUAGGUUUAAAGGGUGCGUAGGCGGAAUAAUAAGUCAGUGGUGAAAUCUUGCGGCUCAACCGUAAAAUUGCCAUUGAUACUGUUAUUCUUGAGUAUGGUUGAGGUAGGCGGAAUGAGUAAUGUAGCGGUGAAAUGCUUAGAUAUUACUCAGAACACCGAUUGCGUAGGCAGCUUACCAAGCCAUCACUGACGCUGAGGCACGAAAGCGUGGGUAGCAAACAGGAUUAGAUACCCUGGUAGUCCACGCCGUAAACGUUGAUUACUCGUUGUUGGCAAUACACCGUCAGCGACUGAGCAAAAGCAUUAAGUAAUCCACCUGGGGAGUACGUCAGCAAUGAUGAAACUCAAAGGAAUUGACGGGGGCCCGCACAAGCGGAGGAACAUGUGGUUUAAUUCGAUGAUACGCGAGGAACCUUACCUGGGCUUAAAUGUUUAGUGAUCGACCGGGAGACCGGUUUUUCCUUCGGGACACUUUACAAGGUGCUGCAUGGUUGUCGUCAGCUCGUGCCGUGAGGUGUCGGGUUAAGUCCCAUAACGAGCGCAACCCCUAUCGCCAGUUGCCAGCACAUAAUGGUGGGAACUCUGGUGAAACUGCCGGUGCAAACCGUGAGGAAGGUGGGGAUGACGUCAAAUCAGCACGGCCCUUAUGUCCAGGGCUACACACGUGUUACAAUGGUCGGUACAACAGGAUGCCAAUCCGCAA
Molecule: ribosomal RNA, 1006 nt
Filed under: uncultured organism
Description: bacterial SSU rRNA
Rfam family: Bacterial small subunit ribosomal RNA
Source: RNAcentral